Molecule: ribosomal RNA, 252 nt
Filed under: uncultured bacterium
Lineage: Bacteria
Description: partial 16S ribosomal RNA
Rfam family: Bacterial small subunit ribosomal RNA
Source: RNAcentral
UACGUAGGGUGCGAGCGUUGUCCGGAAUUACUGGGCGUAAAGAGCUCGUAGGUGGUUUGUCGCGUUGUCCGUGAAAUUCCCUGCUUAACUGGGGGCGUGCGGGCGAUACGGGCAGACUGGAGUACUGCAGGGGAGACUGGAAUUCCUGGUGUAGCGGUGGAAUGCGCAGAUAUCGGGAGGAACACCAGUGGCGAAGGCGGCGAUCUGGGCAGAUACUGACGCUGAGGUGCGAAAGCGUGGGGAGCAAACAGG